This 261-nucleotide ribosomal RNA is filed under the name Triticum aestivum (bread wheat). RNAcentral describes it as "partial small subunit ribosomal RNA". Lineage: Eukaryota; Viridiplantae; Streptophyta; Magnoliopsida; Poales; Poaceae. The record is from RNAcentral.
AUGAUCAAAUAUUGGUUGGGUCUCCAUGAUGUGCAUUCUAGUGAUUGGAGCCAAAAUGGUACCAAGAAGACACAAUCGCGAAGACCACUUGCUUCCUUGAUGCUUCUUGUCUCUUGGGAGUUGUGGAAUGAGAGGAAUGCGCGGAUCUUUCGUAAUACUGUUGUCCUGGUUGAAGUCAUUGUUGCUAGGAUUAAAGAGGAGGCGUCGCUUUGGAGCAUGGCGGGGACGAGGCACUUGAGUAAUAUAAUGUCGCGAGAGUGA